This 763-nucleotide ribosomal RNA is filed under the name uncultured Streptococcus sp. RNAcentral describes it as "bacterial SSU rRNA". It matches the Rfam family "Bacterial small subunit ribosomal RNA", at positions 28 to 776 of the family's 1533-position model. The record is from RNAcentral. Lineage: Bacteria; Bacillati; Bacillota; Bacilli; Lactobacillales; Streptococcaceae.
GACGAACGCUGGCGGCGUGCCUAAUACAUGCAAGUAGAACGCUGAAGGAGGAGCUUGCUUCUCUGGAUGAGUUGCGAACGGGUGAGUAACGCGUAGGUAACCUGCCUGGUAGCGGGGGAUAACUAUUGGAAACGAUAGCUAAUACCGCAUAACAGUAGAUGUUGCAUGACAUUUGCUUAAAAGGUGCAAUUGCAUCACUACCAGAUGGACCUGCGUUGUAUUAGCUAGUUGGUGGGGUAACGGCUCACCAAGGCAACGAUACAUAGCCGACCUGAGAGGGUGAUCGGCCACACUGGGACUGAGACACGGCCCAGACUCCUACGGGAGGCAGCAGUAGGGAAUCUUCGGCAAUGGGGGCAACCCUGACCGAGCAACGCCGCGUGAGUGAAGAAGGUUUUCGGAUCGUAAAGCUCUGUUGUAAGAGAAGAACGAGUGUGAGAGUGGAAAGUUCACACUGUGACGGUAACUUACCAGAAAGGGACGGCUAACUACGUGCCAGCAGCCGCGGUAAUACGUAGGUCCCGAGCGUUAUCCGGAUUUAUUGGGCGUAAAGCGAGCGCAGGCGGUUAGAUAAGUCUGAAGUUAAAGGCUGUGGCUUAACCAUAGUACGCUUUGGAAACUGUUUAACUUGAGUGCAGAAGGGGAGAGUGGAAUUCCAUGUGUAGCGGUGAAAUGCGUAGAGAUGUGGAGGAAUACCGAAGGCGAAGGCAGCCCCUUGGGAAUGUACUGACGCUCAUGUGCGAAAGCGUGGGGAGCAAACAGG